CGGGGUGAGUAACGCGUGGAUAACCUGCCUUACACUGGGGGAUAACACUUAGAAAUAGGUGCUAAUACCGCAUAAGCGCACAGAGCCGCAUGGCUCAGUGUGAAAAACUCCGGUGGUGUAAGAUGGAUCCGCGUCUGAUUAGCUGGUUGGCGGGGUAGAAGCCCACCAAGGCGACAAUCAGUAGCCGGCCUGAGAGGGUGAACGGCCACAUUGGGACUGAGACACGGCCCAAACUCCUACGGAAGGCAGCAG
RNAcentral lists this ribosomal RNA (252 nucleotides) under uncultured bacterium. RNAcentral describes it as "partial 16S ribosomal RNA". It matches the Rfam family "Bacterial small subunit ribosomal RNA", at positions 100 to 354 of the family's 1533-position model. The record is from RNAcentral.